RNAcentral lists this ribosomal RNA (1364 nucleotides) under uncultured prokaryote. RNAcentral describes it as "partial 16S ribosomal RNA". It matches the Rfam family "Bacterial small subunit ribosomal RNA", at positions 29 to 1395 of the family's 1533-position model. The record is from RNAcentral.
UUGAACGCUGGCGGCAGGCCUAACACAUGCAAGUCGAGCGAGAAAGCACUUCGGUGUGAGUAGAGCGGCGGACGGGUGAGUAACGCGUAGGAAUUUGCCCAGUAGUGGGGGACAACAUGUGGAAACGCAUGCUAAUACCGCAUAACGUCUACGGACCAAAGGGGGGGAUCUUCGGACCUCUCGCCAUUUGAUUAGCCCAAGUGAGAUUAGCUAGUUGGUGAGGUAAAGGCUCACCAAGGCGACGAUCUCUAGCUGGUUUGAGAGGAUGAUCAGCCACACUGGGACUGAGACACGGCCCAGACUCCUACGGGAGGCAGCAGUGGGGAAUAUUGGACAAUGGGCGGAAGCCUGAUCCAGCAAUACCGCGUGUAUGAAGAAGGCUCUAGGGUCGUAAAGUACUUUCAGAGGGGAGGAAAGGUUGUAGUUUAAUAUGCUGCGACUGUGACGUUACCCUCAGAAGAAGCACCGGCUAACUCCGUGCCAGCAGCCGCGGUAAUACGGAGGUGCGAGCGUUAAUCGGAAUUACUGGGCGUAAAGCGCGGUAGGUGGUUUGAUAAGUUGGAUGUGAAAGCCCCGGGCUCAACCUGGGAACUGCAUUCAAAACUGUCUCACUAGAGUACGAUAGAGGGGGGUAGAAUUUCAGGGGGUAGCGGUGAAAUGCGUAGAUAUAGAAGGAACAUCAGUGGCGAAGGCGGCCACUGGACUAAUACUGACACUGAGGUGCCGAAAGCGUGGGGAGCAAACAGAUUAGAUACCCUGGUAGUCCACGCCGUAAACGAUGUCUACUAGCCGUUGGGGAGCUUGCCUCCUUAGUGGCGCAGCUAACGCAAUAAGUAGACCGCCUGGGGGUACGGUCGCAAGAUUAAAACUCAAAUGAAUUGACGGGGGCCCGCACAAGCGGUGGAGCAUGUGGUUUAAUUCGAUGCAACGCGAAGAACCUUACCAGGUCUUGACAUCCUGCGAACUUUCUAGAGAUAGAUUGGUGCCUUCGGGAACGCAGUGACAGGUGCUGCAUGGCUGUCGUCAGCUCGUGUUGUGAAAUGUUGGGUUAAGUCCCGUAACGAGCGCAACCCUUAUCCUUAUUUGCCAGCACGUAAUGGUGGGAACUCUAAGGAGACUGCCGGUGACAAACCGGAGGAAGGUGGGGACGACGUCAAGUCAUCAUGGCCCUUACGACCUGGGCUACACACGUGCUACAAUGGGAGGUACAGAGGGACGCGAAGCCGCGAGGUGUAGCUAAUCCCAGAAAACCUUUCGUAGUCCGGAUUGGAGUCUGCAACUCGACUCCAUGAAGUUGGAAUCGCUAGUAAUCGUGAAUCAGAAUGUCGCGGUGAAUACGUUCCCGGGCCUUGUACACACCGCCC